ACGCUCGACACCUACGGGAGCAGCAGUCGGGAAUAUUGCGCAAUGGAGGAAACUCUGACGCAGUGACGCCGCGUAUAGGAAGAAGGUCUUCGGAUUGUAAACUAUUGUCGUUAGGGAAGAAAAAGGACAGUACCUAAGGAGGAAGCUCCGGCUAACUACGUGCCAACAGCCGCGGUAAUCUGAGCGGGCUGGCAAGGC
This 198-nucleotide ribosomal RNA is filed under the name uncultured bacterium. RNAcentral's name for it is "partial 16S ribosomal RNA". It matches the Rfam family "Bacterial small subunit ribosomal RNA", at positions 328 to 539 of the family's 1533-position model. The record is from RNAcentral.